UACGGGGGGGGCAAGCGUUGUUCGGAAUUACUGGGCGUAAAGGGCUCGUAGGCGGCCAACUAAGUCGGACGUGAAAUCCCUCGGCUUAACCGGGGAACUGCGUCCGAUACUGGAUGGCUUGAGUUCGGGAGAGGGAUGCGGAAUUCCAGGUGUAGCGGUGAAAUGCGUAGAUAUCUGGAGGAACACCGGUGGCGAAGGCGGCAUCCUGGACCGACACUGACGCUGAGGAGCGAAAGCCAGGGGAGCAGACGGG
Molecule: ribosomal RNA, 253 nt
Filed under: uncultured bacterium
Lineage: Bacteria
Description: partial 16S ribosomal RNA
Rfam family: Bacterial small subunit ribosomal RNA
Source: RNAcentral